This 497-nucleotide ribosomal RNA is filed under the name uncultured bacterium. Its description in RNAcentral is "partial 16S ribosomal RNA". It matches the Rfam family "Bacterial small subunit ribosomal RNA", at positions 28 to 507 of the family's 1533-position model. The record is from RNAcentral.
GAUGAACGCUGGCGGCGUGCCUAAUACAUGCAAGUCGAGCGAACAGAUAAGGAGCUUGCUCCUUUGACGUUAGCGGCGGACGGGUGAGUAACACGUGGGUAACCUACCUAUAAGACUGGGAUAACUUCGGGAAACCGGAGCUAAUACCGGAUAACAUUUGGAACCGCAUGGUUCUAAAGUGAAAGAUGGUUUUGCUAUCACUUAUAGAUGGACCCGCGCCGUAUUAGCUAGUUGGUAAGGUAACGGCUUACCAAGGCAACGAUACGUAGCCGACCUGAGAGGCUGAUCGGCCACACUGGAACUUAGACACGGUCCAGACUCCUACGGGAGGCAGCAGUAGGGAAUCUUCCGCAAUGGGCGAAAGCCUGACGGAGCAACGCCGCGUGAGUGAUGAAGGGUUUCGGCUCGUAAAACUCUGUUAUUAGGGAAGAACAAAUGUGUAAGUAACUGUGCACGUCUUGACGGUACCUAAUCAGAAAGCCACGGCUAACUACGUG